Erigeron canadensis is the source of this 1825-nucleotide long non-coding RNA. RefSeq lists it as uncharacterized. Lineage: Eukaryota; Viridiplantae; Streptophyta; Magnoliopsida; Asterales; Asteraceae. The transcript has 9 exons. The record is from RefSeq and is a predicted model, not a curated record.
UUGGGACUUAUCUGAACCAUUUACAAGAUCUGAUCAAAAACACAGAAGAUCAAAACUGUCAUUUACGUCCAUUAAUAUAAAUAACCAAAAUAUAUUCCAUUCCAACCUAAAAGUCGUCAUCCUCCAUCAACAUCCCACCGCCUCCUUCUUCACCAUCUGCCACCGUAUCCCUCUGAAUCUGCCACCGCCACUGUCGUUCUCCAUGAUCAGUAUCAAUCCGGCAACCGGCGAAUAAUCCUUUCGGAGCAAUUUUCACAAUCCGACCACCGGCGUUUUCUUCCGCUCAAUUGCAAAUUGCACAUGCCGCCACUGUCACCGCAACCAUCAGUUUCACCGAUAAAAGGAAUCUGCGAACCUCCGUCUUCAUUACUCCAUCAUCACGAAUCAGUCAAUCAUUUACCGGGUUAUGGAAGAAACCAAGGGAAAAAAAAAGGUUGCUGAAACCUAUGUCAAUUAGACGAGGAACAAGCUUUUGAGCUCCUACAGGAGCUUUACGACAGAUUCAGAGAAGGGGGAAUCACAAAUUUGCUGCAAGAAACUGAAGACUGGCUAUACGAAGAAAGUGACGAUGAAUGUGAAGAAGACUAUAAUCGAAAAAUCAAAUAUCUUAAAAAGGUGCCUAAAGUGCUAUUAUUAAGCUGCUGCAAUGCAAUAGGCUGGGCUAAUAUGUUGCAGAAGUGGCAGAAUGGAUAUCUGAAAGUCAAAGUCAAAUUCAACCUGCAGGGCAUUCGAUGGAAGUCAUAAAAGUUAAGGCGAUUCGAAGGUUAAAAGAUUUGCUAACUGUAAGACUUCCAAUGGGCACAUUUCCUGUUAAGUAGAUGAUUUUGAAGCUGCCAUUUAAUCUUGAGCUGAAGGUUACUCUCACAUAUUUAACAAGUUACACGAGGUGAAGCAUGGCGGCAGUGGAAAGUCACCAAGGUUAACGAGUGAACACUCUCAAAUUUAUGGUCAAAGACCCGAGAGUAAAAAGAGUGCAGGUAAAUCAGCAGCUUUGAACAGUUUGAUUGGACAUCCUGCUUUGCCAACUGGUGAAGGUGGUGCAACUCGUGCUCCUAUAUGCAUCGAAUUAAAGAGGUAUGAAAACCUAGCAAAUCGAUUGUCCUGCAGAUUGACAGCAAAUUUCAACCUGUUUCUGCAAGUGCUCUUCGCCAUUCAUUACAGGAGAGGCUUAGUAAGAUUUCAAGCAAAAGUCGGGAUGAAAUAUAUCUGAAGCUUAAAACAAGUACAGCUCCGUUGAAAUUGGUUGAUUUGCCUGGAGUUGACAAGGGAAAUCUUGAUGACUCUUUGGUUAGUGGCAAUGAAUUUAUUCGUUAUGACCAUGUCAUUUAAUUAUUCCCUACAAAGUUCCAUUUUGUUUUUUGGAGAGACGUGGUAACCUGAUUCAGAGUGAGUAUGCUCAACACAAUGAUGCAAUUCUGCUGGUUGUAAUACAGGCACCAGAAGUUGCCUCUGCAAAAGCCCUCAGAAUUGUAAAGGAAUAUGACGACAGCUCUACAAUUACUUGACUAAAUGUCCAUAUGUUUGCUUGUUGUAUCAGGAAAAAGACUUGAAGAGUAUUAGAAGUUUUAAAAUGCGAAAAAAGAGACGACAUGGAAUCUUCACUUCGGGGAGUGAAAACUGAUGGUAUCUCAUGAGGCAUGGAUGAGGAUUCUACUCCUUCAACUUGAUCAUCUCUGAUUUACAUUUCUUGUAAUCUAUCAUAAUUUAUAUACUUUAUUUUCUUUAGUGUUACAGUUUUUUUUUUUUUACUGCUUCUUUAGUAUUAUAGUGCUUUUGGGAUUCUAUUGAUACUUUUUUUUAUGGUGUUUCAACAACUUUUUUAUGA